GAGCCAUGAAAGACUUAAGUAUUUUUCUAUAUAAACUUCAGAAUUCAAUAAUGUCAGUGUAUAUCUUUAAAACAAACUUCUCAGUUAAAACCAAAUAGGACAUAGUGAUUUACUUUAAAUGUCAAGCAUCUUUCAGAUCAAAUUGUCAUAUGUUGUGUUGCCAGGAACGGGUAAAACGACAUUUAUCAGAAUGCUUGCUGGAAGACUUAAACCUGAUGAAGGAGGUGAAGUACCAGUUCUAAAUGUCAGUUAUAAGCCACAGAAAAUUAGUCCCAAAUCAACUGGAAGUGUUCGCCAGUUACUACAUGAAAAGAUAAGAGAUGCUUAUACUCAUCCACAAUUUGUGACCGAUGUAAUGAAGCCUCUGCAAAUUGAAAACAUCAUUGAUCAAGAGGUGCAGACAUUAUCUGGUGGUGAACUACAGCGAGUAGCUUUAGCCCUUUGUUUGGGCAAACCUGCUGAUGUCUAUUUAAUUGAUGAACCAUCUGCAUAUUUGGAUUCUGAACAAAGACUGAUGGCAGCUCGAGUUGUCAAACGUUUCAUACUCCAUGCAAAAAAGACAGCCUUUGUUGUGGAACAUGACUUCAUCAUGGCCACCUAUCUAGCGGAUCGCGUCAUCGUUUUUGAUGGUGUUCCAUCUAAGAACACAGUUGCAAACAGGUAAAAUUACUUUUUAAUAUGUUCAAAGUAAUUCAUUUUAAAUUUUCCAGUAAAUAGUAAAGUCACUCACUUUAAUUUUUAAAAAAUGAA
RNAcentral lists this small RNA (750 nucleotides) under Pongo abelii (Sumatran orangutan). RNAcentral describes it as "retained intron". The record is from RNAcentral. Lineage: Eukaryota; Metazoa; Chordata; Mammalia; Primates; Hominidae.